CAUGCAUGUGUAAGUAUGAACCGCUCAUACGGUGAAACUGCGAAUGGCUCAUUAAAUCAGUUAUAGUUUAUUUGAUGGUACUACUCCUAUUCGGAUAACCGUAGGAAAACUAGAGCUAAUACGUGCGCACAUCCCGACUUCUGGAAGGGACGUAUUUAUUAGAUAGAAGACCGACCGGGUUCUCCCGAGCUGCGGUGAAUCAUGAUAACUUCACGAAUCGCGUGGCCUCGUGCCGGCGAUGUUUCAUUCAAAUUUCUGCCCUAUCAACUUUCGACGGUAGGGUAGUGGCCUACCGUGGUGGUAACGGGUGACGGAGGAUUAGGGUUCGAUUCCGGAGAGGGAGCCUGAGAAACGGCUACCACAUCCAAGGAAGGCAGCAGGCGCGCAAAUUACCCAAAUCCCAACUCGGGGAGGUAGUGACAAGAAAUAACGAUGCUCCGGCCUCACGGUCGGGUAAUCGGAAUGAGAACAAUUUAAAUCCCUUAUCGAGGAUCAAUUGGAGGGCAAGUCUGGUGCCAGCAGCCGCGGUAAUUCCAGCUCCGAUAGCGUAUAUUAAAGUUGUUGCGGUUAAAAAGCUCGUAGUUGGAUCUGUGUUCCACUCUGUCGGUUCGUUGCCCGUCAGCGUUUAACUGGCAUGUAAGUGGAACGUCCUGCCGGUUGGUAGGGUGCAGCAUCCGCUGUGCUUCUACCAGUCCAAUCCUGUCGCGGUGCUCUUUAUUGAGUGUUGAGGCAGGCCGGCACGUUUACUUUGAACAAAUUUGAGUGCUUAAAGCAGGCUGUUACGCCUGAAAACUGUUUGCAUGGAAUAAUGGAAUAGGACCUCGGUUCUAUUUUGUUGGUUUUCGGAGCCCGAGGUAAUGAUUAAUAGGGACAGGCGGGGGCAUUAGUAUUGCGACGUUAGAGGUGAAAUUCUUGGAUCGUCGCAAGACUGACCUAAGCGAAAGCAUUUGCCAAGGAUGCUUCCAUUAAUCAAGAACGAAAGUUAGAGGUUCGAAGGCGAUCAGAUACCGCCCUAGUUCUAACCAUAAACGAUGCCAGCCAGCGAUCCGUCGCAGUUCCUCCGAUGACUCGACGGGCAGCUUCCGGGAAACUAAAGCUUUUAGGUUCCGGGGGAAGUAUGGUUGCAAAGCUGAA
Molecule: ribosomal RNA, 1134 nt
Filed under: uncultured eukaryote
Lineage: Eukaryota
Description: bacterial SSU rRNA
Rfam family: Eukaryotic small subunit ribosomal RNA
Source: RNAcentral